Cryptomeria japonica (Japanese cedar) is the source of this 590-nucleotide RNA transcript. RefSeq lists it as uncharacterized. The record is from RefSeq and is a predicted model, not a curated record. The transcript has 5 exons. NCBI's taxonomy places the organism in Eukaryota, Viridiplantae, Streptophyta, Pinopsida, Cupressales, Cupressaceae.
UUGAUAAAGACAGGCGGUGACUUGAAAUUAGUUAAAAGAAGAUUAUAAAUGUAUUUCUGCUUUCAAAUUGAUAGACGCAAUUGGACGAUAGCUAAAAGAAGAUUUGAAAACCUGACUCCGCGAAUUCUUCGCGGGCGCAGGUAUUUUUUCGCUUAUAUUUGGUGAAACAAGCAAUUCUUGCAAUAUAGAAACAAUACAGGAAUUCCUUUGCACCCUGAUGGACAAAGGUUUGGAGGAGAUACACAAUGUAUUAAGGCGUUUCUUGGGAUAGGGUUAAUAUUAAUGGACUUAAUAUACGUAUUCUGUUGCAAGAAUGCAUUUACACCUUAUUUUCAAGGGACAGGAGGAGACAUCGAUUCCACUCUUGCCAAGGAGUUUUCUACAUCCAAGUGGGGUUCAAAGAAGAUACAUAUUUCAUCAAGGCUAGGUUUAUCAGAUUGCAGGAUUAAAUUUGCUCCCGAAUGGACAACACAUUGAAGAAAACACACAGGGCUUCGCUUAUUAAUAUGCAGCCGACACAUCCCACUGUUCGAGGAUUGAAACUAAGCUAGAGCAAAUGGUAGACGCAGGAAACAUAUUUCCGGGUUAGU